Long non-coding RNA from Anolis carolinensis (green anole), 471 nucleotides. RefSeq lists it as uncharacterized. The transcript has 2 exons. Lineage: Eukaryota; Metazoa; Chordata; Lepidosauria; Squamata; Anolidae. The record is from RefSeq and is a predicted model, not a curated record.
GUCACAAACGGAAGGAGGGGAUCCACAUGGCAGGAAGAACAGCUGAUUAUUGGUAGGGUUAAAGGCCUAGUCCGUUGGAGGACGUGAAGCUGAAGAGGAUGUUGUGGGUAUGAAGACGAGUCCUUGAUUGAUUUAAGUGUCCAGUUCCAAGAAGACAAAGGUGUAAAACCUGGAAAGCAAAAGGUGGUAAUCCUGGAUGACUAGAGGCCUGGCUGCCCUUUCAGAAGGCUAAUGUAUUCAUGUUUGUUUUAGCCUUCUCUUCCAUGGGAACCAUAAGCCUCCAGUCACAUUUAAACAAUUCUGGGCCCUGAUGACAAUGUGAAGAAAUUGGACACCUGAUAUAAUGGCAAAAUAUCAGGGCACAAGAAGACUUCUGGCAGAAGAGACGGUUUAAUAAGAUAUAUAUGGAAGAAAAGAAGCAUUUGAGUAUUCAGUUUCUGUAGGUUACCAAUACUACUGUGGUUCAGUUAA